GUAGCCUGAUGGUCGUACCUAAGUAGUAUAAGUUCAUGCACCUUAGGGCUGUUAUCGCUUUAGAUACAACAUGAUUUGACUUUGACAUGAAUGAUAAUGAUAGAGACAACUCACCAAUGGAGAGCUUUGUACGUGUCAAGCACACAUUGGUUUUCUAGCUCUAUAAAUACGGGUCAUCCUCCAACAGGUGAUCAGAUUCUCGCCUAGCUCUUAUCAUGUCCUAGUAGU
RNAcentral lists this unclassified non-coding RNA (228 nucleotides) under Hevea brasiliensis (rubber tree). Lineage: Eukaryota; Viridiplantae; Streptophyta; Magnoliopsida; Malpighiales; Euphorbiaceae. The record is from RNAcentral.